Puntigrus tetrazona (Sumatra barb) is the source of this 8688-nucleotide long non-coding RNA. RefSeq lists it as uncharacterized. Lineage: Eukaryota; Metazoa; Chordata; Actinopteri; Cypriniformes; Cyprinidae. The transcript has 4 exons. The record is from RefSeq and is a predicted model, not a curated record.
UCCAGCGCAGCAGUUAGCAUGGUAAAUCACGAAAACUCUGAGCCACGCUAACCGUCUGCGGCUUGUUGUUUUCUAUAAGCGCAAUGCAAACUGUCCCGCCUGUAAACAAACGCAUACAUCAGCUGACACCCAGUGAAAUGCCUUUUAUUUGGCUUGGAGAGAGUUGCUUUCAGGAUACCGGUAUAAAUCCCAGAUCCUAGAGAGAAGCUCGCUGGACAUCACUAAGACAUUGCACAGACUGUUCCACUGGCACAAAAGGUUGUUUCAGCAAAUGAUGAAAAGGAUGCUCUCAGAAGAAGAAGAAGAAGAAGAAGAAGAAGAAGAAGAAGAAGAACUGAUUCUGAUCAUUCACAUCAUCUUUAAGGACGCUCACAGAAGAUCAGAUAAUCACUGGGGUGCAUCAAGGUUCGAUACUGAGCCCUAUUAAAUAUUAUAUAAUUCUUAAUAAAGUGGGAACAUUUAUAACAUUUGCAUUUUAAUUAUAUAAUUAAAUAAUUGUCCAUUAACAAAUGCUAAUUAAAAGAUACAAACUUUGACUUUAAAAGUUUAUUAGAACUUGUUGAAAUCGAACAAAGUGUUCCAACAUUAGGGUAAAAUUUCUAUAUACUGCACUUAUUAUUAUUAUUAAUUAACACUACAUUCUUAUUUCUCCUCGGGUAUAUUUAGGCUACAUAUAAACAAGCAGGGGUUUUUUUGUUUUGUUUUUUUGACUGUAUGUUCCCAGUGGCAUUUCUCACAAUAACUAAAACAUGUUACUAAGGAUGCAAACGGAGUCGCCCAAAUUUCCCUCCUUUAGAAACCCAUCUGGCCCCAACCCAAAAUCAAUAAAUCUGAGCUAAGGAAAAGAGCAAACAAUAUAGUUGCUCUGACCACCAAUAGACAGAGGAUAACAUGCUUUCUUGUGUUGAAUUAGGACCUUUAGAAAUCAAAUGCAGUCCACAGAGAAAAGCUCACUUAAGGGGAAAGGAAGUACUUUCAAUGCAUGUCAACAAGCAGCGGAAGAGAACUCCUAAUGAGUUCAGAAAUGCCACUGGUGUGCAUGAGGAAAAACAUGUCUCCUUGGGGUAUGGCAUGCAAACACACGCAGGCAUCUUUCAAGCUAGCGUGGGCAGUGGCAUGAACUUCUUAGCAAGUACGGGAAAUGACACUUGCAGAGCACGCAUACCUUCUCCUAAACCUUUCCACUAGAUGGCUUCCACAUGGUCUGUAGAUAGUACUGGCAUUAUUAUAGCGACCUCAUUGCAUUUUUGUGUUUAGAGCAUUGUGUCGGCCCAAAAACUGGGUAAAGCCAUUAACGUGCCACGGCAGCAGACGGGUUGCACGUUUGUUGGUGCUGGUCUGUGGUUGGACUUCGACGACGGACUGUGACCAGGACCUGUUAUUGUGUUUAUGGUGACUGUAAAGGGCUCAGCUCAGGCACUAUUACCAGAAAAACAGGAUGAGAGUGAGGUAUUGCUAGAAUCCACUACUUAAAAACAAAUUGCCAUUUUCCGCUGUUAAAGCAUUUAUGAGCAUUACGAUACUGAAAAAUGACAAGUCUGAAAAGAUAAAUGGGACAAUUUAGAGUCACGUGGACUUUAUAAACAACAGAGAGCGACGGCCAGCAGACUCCACAUCAUCUUUACUAUAUUUGACAGGGACAGCCAAUGGGGUGCCUCAGGGCUCGGUGCGUGGCCCUUUUUCAGUGCACAAAACCUCUCUCAUUUAAACAAUGAAAAUACUAUAUUUGAUUAUAUCAUAUACACACUAAAAUAUUGUGAGAAUUAAAUUGUGAAAAUAAGGGUAAUUCUCUCUGAAAAUAGUUAAAUACAUUAGAUGAGAUAAUACCGAAAAAAGUACCACCAAGUAAUUGUGUGCAUUUAGUUUUCUUACAGUUUUAAUAAUAAUAUUGUGAAAUUUUAAGCUAAAGGCUCUAUAUUACAGUCCAGUUCAUUGAUUGGCUAGUGUCAAUGUAAAUAACAGCCCCCUCUCUUUUCCUCUCCCUUUUUAAUAUCAUUAUCCAGUGUUUACAGUGACGCUUACAUAAUCCGACCUUGGUACAUCUUAACUGUCUGGCCCUACAUCCAGGAUUUCUUCCCGUCAUUGAGCGGCUGUUAUCUAACUGCUGUUUGGCGAGGCAUGCUUGGGAUAAAUGAUUGCAUUGUCAUUUGUUCCUGGCUACUUCGCAUUUGUCCCAUUUUCUCCAGGCAGAUCCCAUCGAGCUAAUCCUCUGGGUGAGAAAACAUGUGUGCCAACUGAAAUGAUAAUCAAUCUGUCUAUAAGCUGGGUUGGGGGCUGGGUACUACUUGUGGAGUUAAAGUAAGAUGGGCUUUGGCAGAUAAAUAUGGCACAACGGAGCUCUGUUCCAAAACCUAGUAAGCUGCCUGCUUAGAAAGCAUUCUCAGAAGGUAGACGCCUAUGUAGACAGCAAGGUAGCAUGCUGAAUCUAGGUGUUGAGGUUUUAUUAAGGACAUCACGCUGGAGAACAUCAGGAUGGAGAACUUGCUAUAAAUACGUUUUCAGCACAAACAUCAGUGAAAGCUAUUUAAAGUUCCUAGUUAUUUUUUAAAGGCGCUUGUAAUAUUGCCUGGACGCCUUUAAGUAUAUAAAAGGUUUAUUUUAUGGGCAAAAUAACCAAGCUGUUAAUGAGCAUAAAAAGAAGACAAAAAUAUGCAAGGUAUGUGGUUCGCCUUGGGAACAAAUGAAUACUGAGCGGUACUUCAGGAUGCGCGACGUGAAUAGAAACCUAAUAACACUUUUACUAGUGUCUACCGCCAGAAACACACAGGUUUUGUGAGCUGAAGGCUUUACUGUUGCAUGAGCAAUUGAGCCGUUGGUUUAAUAGAGUUGUUGAUCAGCAGGAGCGACUGGAAUGUUUGCGUUUCUCCAGCUCCGUAGAAGGGCAAGCGAUGGCUAUCCAAAGCUGUAUAUUGUUUUAUAAGAGUUGGAAUUACAACGUGUUACAAUAAAACUAAACUAGAUGUGUCGGUUUCUCUGCGGUUGCUAACAUCCUCGGAGGGUUUUAUCCACCUUAUUUUUUCAAAACGGCAUUUUCAGACGUUCGGCCUGAUCUUACAUUUGUGCAAUAAUUAAAAUUGGUCACCAUUUCUUUCCACUUACAGCAAUGCCGUAGAAGAGACAUUUUUGGGUCCACAAAGAACCAUUCAGUCAAAGCCAUCUCUUUCUUACCUUUCUAUAUUCUGAAGAACCUUCUUUUGCCACAAAGGACAAGAAGGUUGGCAUCUUGAAGCACCUUUUAAGAGAGUGCUAUAAUACAGGACUAAUAUGCCGGGAAACAUCAAAAGAUAUUAGAUUUACCUCAGCAAACUAAAUCGGUGUCCAUAGCUUGUUUACAUAUAUCUAUUUCUUAACAACCAUUCAAACAUUUGGGGUCAAUGAGGUUUUUUAAAAGGAUUAUCAGUGUUUCGCAAGUUUUUUCGCAUGCGUUCCUUCACGAAUACAGCUUCUAUUUGAAACAGAAACUCAAGAGCGUCACGACGGGUCGUUCAGAUCAGAAGUCCAACCUCGGCACAAUGCACUGGAAACAACAAAAGCCGGCUGGAAAUCGUUUGUUAUGUACAGGAGCGAGAGCGUGUACACCAGUAAUACCGUUCGGUGUUCGCCCAUUGUUCCAGAUACAAUAUGGGUCCGCAGCCAGAUGCAAAAAACAUCCUACGGGACCAAUUAAUAUCACACGAACAAUGCCUUCGCUGGAUUAACCCGACACAAAAGAAGCGGUCGGCUGCCAUUCGGCCUGUAAUGACCGACACCACACACUCCAUAUACGUGGCGCUGUAACGACUCCAAGAUGUAUUCGAGAGUCGCUCUCUGACGCACGAGUCCCAUCAAGGUCACCGGGGCCGUGUAUUUUCCCCUCGGGCUCCUGCGGUCCGUCAGCGUGACUUUUAAAGGGAAGCGCAGCUGUCACGAGGCCGGCCAGGAGUCACAGGUGGACAUGGAUGUCGUCGCCGGACAGACAAUGGCGUUAUAAACGGCCCUGGCAGAUGGGCACGAUGUGAAAGCAUCUGAUGUGUUUGUAACCCAGCUCAUUACACCGCGCCACCUGCGACCGAAAGAGGAAAUCAUAUGCAACUUUCCUAUUAUUCGCAGUCGGAGUCUCCCGAAAACAAAACCCAGUGGAAAAGAAGAAAACAAGCGAGGCUUGUGUUUUAAUUGUGGUGAGCAGGGCACUUCAAAGUCGCCCAUUCAGAGCAAAAUUUACCGUAAUAUUCUCUGAGCAAUGUAAAUUGCUCUGUUUACUCCGAGCGUGGCCUCCAAAUGACACGGCUGAACCCAAAACGCUGCGUAGCAUGUCUAGGAAAGUCAUCAAGCCAGGAAUCCCUGGCAGUGGUCCGCAGUCUCUCCAGACCCUUCUGGCAGUCCUGUGUAAUAAAGUUGUGGAAAGGAGCUGUUUUCAAAUUGUAAAUUCCUUUCGGGUAUUAGCUCAAAUAUGCCCAUUUGAGGGUCAACAAAAAUGCUGCUGGUGAACUUCUAAGCACAGAAAAAUGGGAUGAGAGGACUCAAACAAUUAUAUAAACUAUUCCAAUUUAUUCCACAUAAAAUAAGAUGCCUAUGCAUGCAUGCGUGUAUUUAAUAUAAAAAAUAAUUCCCAUGAUGCUAAAGUGUUGUUGCUCUAUUUAUAUUUAAAUAUGUAAUUAUUUAUUAAAGUACUAAUAUAGUAAUAUUUAGCUUUAAUGAAAAGCAAAAUAAUUUGUUUCAAUUUGUGUCAUGUUUUUUUUCACUUAUAAAUAUGUUAUAUAAAUAUAGAAUUAAAUAUUCGUAUGAAUUUUUACUCCAUCUUUAGUUUUAAUCAUUUUAGUACUUCUUACUAAAAAAUAUUGGUAACACUUUACAAUACGGUGUCAUUCGCAAACAUUGAACGAUGAAGAGUGCAUUUAUCACAUUAUUUAUUCAUCUUUAUGUUAAAUACAGUAGUUCAAGUUCAAAGUGCAUUAACUGACGUUAACAAAAACAACUCGUGAUUUUAAUAAACACUGAAAUUAACAUCAGCUAAGAUUAAUAAAUGCCGGAGAAGUAUGGAUCUUCAUUAGUUUACGUUUAUUAAAUGUUGUUAACUUUUGAACCGCAUUAUAAAGUGUUUUCGAAAUGUUUCUUUUUAUUUAUUUCACAUAUUUUAAACAUCCUGAUAUUUCCGUUAAUGCACAUUUCAUUUCAAAUAACGUAAACGUUUGCUUUUAGGUAACAAUGACAACCCCGCUGAGCGGUUGCUAGGGUGUCCCGCUUUGGUUGCUAGGUGGCUUCUUUGUGCUUUUGUGAGCAUCACGGCAACGGUUCUGGUCCAGGCCUGUUUCUGGUUUGUAAGAGCAGGCUGGUUUUCGUCAGGAUCUCGUCUGAAUGCAGGCCAAGGCCGUAAAUCUGACCGAAGGCCCGUCUGUUCAGAGGCCAUUAAAUCAGAGCUCGAAAAUACACAGAGAAGCUUCAGAACCGGAGUUUAUCAGUUCGAACACAACUAUUUCCAAUACCAGCACAAUUUUGAUUUUAUGUCUGCAAUUUAAGGAGAAAUAAAAUCAAGGAAACUCAAAACGAUUAUAUGUCGAGGAAUCCAUUUGAAUUCGUUUUUAUUGCAUUUUUUUGGAGGCGAGUAAAAAACAAGCCGGCCGCAGAAGCUACUGUUGCUUGACACAGCAGAGAUGUAAAUCUCCGGCUUUAUGAGAAAAUAAUUUGUUUACUCCGUUUCUUUGGAUUCGACACUGAUACAAACACCGUCUGGAUGCUUUAAUGGUUCCACGCUGACAUUUUAUGAACAUAUAAUCAUAUUCAACAGAUUCUGACAAGUGAAUAACACCGAGCAGAAGAGAGCUCAAAAAUAACAUCCAAACGGGAAAAUCAAUCUAAAGUCAAAGAACAGAUGAAUUGUUUUGUUUCGGUCGGUUGUUAACCCUACUUUAUAUGAUUAUUAUCAAUCAGUCGUGCUGAACAAAGACGUAUAAACAUAAAGGGGCGUGCAUUUGGAGACAAAAGUGGUUUUAACGGUUUGAAAUCAAUAACACCUCUUUUAAAAGACGACUUUAUCGAAAAGAGCGAUGUUUGGUUACUUGGCUUUAAACACAAAACAAGGAUGUUGCGUCGCAAAUGUUCAUUGCUCGGACGAAAAGCAUUGAGGCUUUGAGUCCCACAGAUGAAGGCAAGCCAUCGAAGUCUACUUUUUCAAUAAACGGCGUUAAAAACGUAUAUAGCGUUCCGAUUGGUUCAAACGCAGUCAGUAAUAAUACCGACCCACGGGCGGACGAGAACACGCUGGAAGGACUUCUCUCUGUUCGUGUGGAGAUGGGAAUAAUCUGACACACCUGUGCAAAUAUGUCAAUACUCACGAAGCCAAAAACACAAGGACUAUGCGCUGACUUGCCAACAUCUUUCUGCACAUUAGUAUAAGAUCUUACAGGCCGUGAGUCUAUGUUUAGCGCCGCUAUUUCCAGCUUAGGAGGAUUUCUGGACACUGCAGCCGAUCUAAGAUUAGACGCAGGUCCCUCGCGGCCAGAGACGUGCUUCUCACAUUAGUUAUAGGAAAAAACCAUCCUGAGAGGUGAUGUGCUCUCAGACUCGGUCAGAAACACUUGUGACGGUGAUUCACGUUCCUUUCGUUCCUUGUUUGCACACAGUGGAAAAAUAAUCACUUUUUUUGUUGUCUUCAUUGGGUUUUACUUCUUUGCUAUGAUUUCGACAGCUUUACCGCUCGAACGACAGCUAACGUAAUGAUAAAACGAUCAUCUUUAUCCUUCGGUUAUCUCUCUCUCAUUCACCACAGUGAACAAUAAUGCUGUGUUCUUCACUGAAUCGGCUGGAACGUGUGUUAUCAUCUUCAGAACCGUAGCAGCGGUGCACUUCUUCUCUAGAAUUAGAACGAUUCAAUGAAAAACUCAGCGUUAUGUCACUCGCCCGUCGACGGAUGCUCUGCAGCGAAUGGGUGCCGUCAGAAUUAGAGUCCAAACAGCUGAUAAACACACUCCCGUCUGUGGGUUAAUGUCUCGUGAAGCAUAAAGACUUUUCAUAAAGAGGUUUUUAUUUCAAACUAUUGCUUUGAGCCAAAAAUAUGUAAUCUGUAAUAAAGCUUCCAGCAACAUUAAUUUAGAGCCGUUUUGGAAAGUUCUAAACUUCAUAUUUCUCACCUGAUUAUGGUCGAGUAAACUUUUCAAUGGAUAAAGGACCAACCGAAACACCCUAAAAAUCUAUUUCACUUAAAAGAUGUUAACGUCGUGUGGAUUACUGUUAUGUUUGGCCUCUCAUUCUGACGGCACCCAUUCUCACAAAUAAUGAAAUGCUCAAUUUCUCCAAAUGAGCUAAUCUUCGGAUGGCCUGAUUUUCAGCUGAUUUACUUUAAGAAAUGAAUAAAUGUAGUUACUGUUAUGAUUCUUGGUAAAUGCACAACCAAACACGCUACGAUAAUGUUUGGGGUAUAAUCUACGCCACGGUCUUGAGUCGUUUCAGAUUAACCGAAGGAGCUCCAGUGUUCAUGCAAUCACCCAAAAAACACGUUAGAGAUGUGAAAGAACACACGAAUGAAGAGGAAAGCGAGCCGAGAAAAUACACCACCAACGUCCAUUUUAAAAAAUGGCUUCCGGUACGUAUUCCAGCUUAAUAAACUAGUAGAAGUUAAAAAAAAGACUUGAACCAUCUAGAGGCCAAACAUCCAACUAUUUGAGCGCAAUAUAUUCUUCAGUAUUUAUUGGACAGGUUUCCCAAUAUAUAAGCUUUGGUUUUCUGUCCACCGCCUGAUGUCUCAAAGAUACUUCUGAGUCUCGCCAGGCUCCGUCAGAUCUCUCUGGUUAUCAGCCACCUCCAGGAGACUAUUUCAGGCUGUGGGAAAAGUUAAGGCAUCUUCACCGAGCUCUGCGUCACGAACGGGAAAGACCCACAUCAUGGGAACGCGUUAUUUCGGUGCUCUUCUCCAAACAACUGCUCUAUUUCUGGAGCUGCGCUUCUAGUUUUGACCCCAGAGAGCCUUUGAAACGUCGCUGAAAUGUGAAAUUGAUUUUAAUUGUGAGGAACUCAAUUACAGGAGAAGAAACGCUCCAGAAGAAGACGCUAGCUCCAUCUGCUGCUCACUUCUGAGUCCAGAACUAACUCACAUGAACCAACCACACGCUGAGCAUUUAUUAUUAUUAUUAUUACUAUUUCUUGGACAUGUGCAUUUAUUAUAUGCAGUGUCAGAUUAAAUGUGAGGUGUUUGGUUCAUAGACCAAAGUUAAAAUGAUGGGGGAAAAAUGUUAUAAAAUCUUUUAAGCCAUUCCAACUUAACAUUUUAAGCGUAUUAACCUGUUGUGGCGAUGCAUUUAAAAUAAAAGAAACGUUAAAAAUGAUGUUAUUUGACCACGUUUAUGAUAAAAAAAGUUUUCCUUAAUAAAAGUGUGAUAAUAAAUACACAAUACUAAUAAAUAAUAAAAGAGGAGAAUGCAUUCAUGAAAGAGUCCCUUGAAAUUGUUAUAAGAUAUCCUAGCAUCUCCAGCAGAUAACGGAGCUGAAUUUCUACAUAAGGACCUCUUCAUGGAUCUUUAUGUUCAUGGACUGCCCUCUGCUGGAAGAACCUGGUCCUCAUCGCUCUGCUUCAGCUCAGACCUCCAGACAAACCCAUCUUCUCAAGGAAGUGAAAGCAGCAGCCACUUGAAGAAACUUCAUGACUUUUAAUGACGGUCAAAAACACUCAAAUCAAACGCGGCGCGGGUUUACCAAACUAAAAGCAAAAGUCAACUC